CAGUGACCCCUACGUGAAACUCUCCCUUUAUGUAGCUGAUGAGAACAGAGAACUUGCCUUAGUUCAAACGAAAACAAUUAAAAAGACCCUUAAUCCAAAGUGGAAUGAAGAAUUCUAUUUCAGAGUAAAUCCACACAAUCAUCGGCUUCUCUUUGAAGUGUUUGAUGAAAACAGACUGGUGAGUAGUGAG
Long non-coding RNA from Polypterus senegalus (gray bichir), 190 nucleotides. RefSeq lists it as uncharacterized. The record is from RefSeq and is a predicted model, not a curated record. The transcript has 3 exons. Lineage: Eukaryota; Metazoa; Chordata; Cladistia; Polypteriformes; Polypteridae.